RNAcentral lists this ribosomal RNA (253 nucleotides) under uncultured bacterium. Its description in RNAcentral is "partial 16S ribosomal RNA". It matches the Rfam family "Bacterial small subunit ribosomal RNA", at positions 524 to 776 of the family's 1533-position model. The record is from RNAcentral.
UACGUAGGGUGCGAGCGUUGUCCGGAAUUACUGGGCGUAAAGAGCUCGUAGGUGGUUUGUCGCGUUGUCCGUGAAAACUCACAGCUCAACUGUGGGCGUGCGGGCGAUACGGGCAGACUGGAGUACUGCAGGGGAGACUGGAAUUCCUGGUGUAGCGGUGGAAUGCGCAGAUAUCAGGAGGAACACCCGUGGCGAAGGCGGCUCUCUGGGACGGUACUGACGCUGAGACGCGAAAGCGUGGGGAGCGAACAGG